Molecule: ribosomal RNA, 1521 nt
Filed under: uncultured rumen bacterium
Lineage: Bacteria
Description: bacterial SSU rRNA
Rfam family: Bacterial small subunit ribosomal RNA
Source: RNAcentral
AGAGUUUGAUCCUGGCUCAGGAUAAACCCCUGGCGGCGCACAUAAGACAUGCAAGUCGAACGGAUGACUAUUUAUUCUUUACGUUUAAAUAGAAGUUAGUGGCGGACUGGUGAGUAACGCGUGAGCAACCUACCUAUAAAAGGGGAAUAACAGGGAGAAAUCUUUGCUAAUACCGCAUAAGCUGAUAGGAUCACAUGAUCUAGUCAGAAAAGGAGUAAUCCGAUUAUAGAUGGGCUCGCGUCCGAUUAGCUAGUUGGUGAGAUAACAGCCCACCAAGGCAACGAUCGGUAGCCGGACUGAGAGGUUGAACGGCCACAUUGGGACUGAGAUACGGCCCAGACUCCUACGGGAGGCAGCAGUCGGGAAUAUUGCGCAAUGGAGGAAACUCUGACGCAGUGACGCCGCGUAUAGGAAGAAGGUUUUCGGAUUGUAAACUAUUGUCGUUAGGGAAGAGAAAGGACGGUACCUAAGGAGGAAGCCCCGGCUAACUAUGUGCCAGCAGCCGCGGUAAUACAUAGGGGGCGAGCGUUAUCCGGAAUUAUUGGGUGUAAAGGGUGCGUAGACGGGAAAUUAAGUUAGUAGUGAAAUCCCUUGGCUUAACUGAGGAAUUGCUACUAAGACUGGUUUUCUUGAGUACUGGAGAGGAAAGUGGAAUUCCUAGUGUAGCGGUGAAAUGCGUAGAUAUUAGGGAGGAACACCAGUGGCGAAGGCGACUUUCUGGACAGAAAUUUGACGUUGAGGCACGAAAGUGUGGGGAGCAAACAGGAUUAGAUACCCUGGUAGUCCCCACCGUAGACGAUGGAUACUAGGUGUAGGGAGUUAAAUCUUCUGUGCCCCCCGCAAACGCAAUAAGUAUCCCACCUGGGGAGUACGGCCGCAAGGUUGAAACUCAAAGGAAUUGACGGGGGCCCGCACAAGCAGUGGAGUAUGUGGUUUAAUUCGAAGCAACGCGAAGAACCUUACCAGGGCUUGACAUAUAUUUGAAUAGAUUAGAGAUAAUCUAGUUCUUCGGAACAGAUAUACAGGUGGUGCAUGGUUGUCGUCAGCUCGUGUCGUGAGAUGUUGGGUUAAGUCCCGCAACGAGCGCAACCCCUAUAGUUAGUUACCAGCACGUAAGGGUGGGAACUCUAGCUAGACUGCCGCAGAUGAUGCGGAGGAAGGUGGGGACGACGUCAAAUCAUCAUGCCCUUUAUGUCCUGGGCUACACACGUACUACAAUGGCUGUAACAGAGGGAAGCAAAAUCGCGAGAUGGAGCAAAACCCAAAAAGCAGUCUCAGUUCGGAUUGAAGGCUGAAAUUCGCCUUUAUGAAGCCGGAAUUGCUAGUAAUGGCAGGUCAGCAUACUGCCGUGAAUACGUUCCCGGGCCUUGUACACACCGCCCGUCACACCAUGAGAGUUGGAAAUACCCGAAGCCUGUGAGCUAACUUUUAGAGGCAGCAGUCGAAUUUAGGGCCAAUGAUUGGGGUGAAGUCGUAACAAGGUAGCCGUAGGAGAACCUGCGGCUGGAUCACCUCCUUUCU